RNAcentral lists this long non-coding RNA (2365 nucleotides) under Homo sapiens (human). RNAcentral describes it as "HSALNT0299798". Lineage: Eukaryota; Metazoa; Chordata; Mammalia; Primates; Hominidae. The record is from RNAcentral.
GUUUCUGUCAGAUUUGGAAAGAAUCAUUGGCAGUCUAGGGAAAAGUGGAUUUACACAAGGUACCGAAAUUACCAGGUGAUAGAGAAGACGUUUAAAUUUGUGGGCCCUCACUCUGAGUUGAGGAAGGGGCCCCUGGUGUUUUUACGACGCACACUUUCUUACUGCUGUACCUGCUGUGGAAUCUAGUGAGAUUCUAAGUAGUCCUAUUUAAUUGUGAGUCAAUAGUGACUUGCUGGGUGCGGUGGCGACUCCCACGGCGGAUGGCUGGGUCGAGAGCACAUCUUUAUUUUCUCUCUAGAUCAUUCUUCUUCCUAUUUUGAUUUGAGAAAGGGAACGUGAGAAUUAGGUCAACCAGAGUGUUUUCCCAGUAAGUGUUGAGGCAGGCGUUUGCAAGGAGCAGUAUUGGAAGCGUUUCCGGAGUUUUCCAGUGUGUUCGGGUUUCACCUGCAUGUCAGGGUUCGUCACCGUCACAGGAACCCUGGGUCAUUUUGCCAACUCAGUAGAACGGGGCUAAAAUGUAAGAGAAGUAACUUUUAUUUUGAGAACAUGCUCAAAAGUCUAACAAAAUGCACACAGGGGAUACAGAAAAUAGAAUGUGGCAAGGUGGGAGUCUGUGGAGGGAGUGGUGAGUAAAUUGUAAUCCGUCUUGGAGACCGUUUCCAAGUUUACACUACGUGAAGCGGACGGGGUUUGUGAUGCACACAGGGCACAGCCCCCAAGCCCGGGUUCUCCAUCGCUUAGUGGGAAUGCAGCCUCUGUGUGGUUUCAAGAAUGGACAUCUGAGUUCUGGCCUGUGUCCAUUUCAACAUAUUCACUGUUUGAAAGUGAAUAUUCAGUUUGACUCGUUUAAUUUCAGAAGCACUGAGAACUGAACUUAGAACAGAAGAGCACUCUAAAUAGAGAGAAGAGAGGAGAUUGUUGAGGCAGAUGGAAAGCAUCACAGGAGAAGUGUGUGGCCCUCGCCUGUGGAGGUGAAGCUCCAGCAAGGCUCCAUCUUGAGUUUUUUUAAAUUUUGAGUAGUAAAGUGAUUCACUAGAUGGAUUGCUAAAAGCAGUUCCCAUUUUAUGUUUUCUUUCUUUGGUAUUCCCAAAAUGCAAAAAAAGUAUGUCUUAGGGCCGAUAUCCCCUUUUGAAAUUACAUCGUUAGGAUUUCUGCCAUCUUUGGAACCAGGGUGUUGAAAGGCUCAGGGUGCUCGCCCACAUCAGUGAGGGAGGUGCAGCUGAUGAAGGAAGUGCUGGGUGCAGAAGGGGAUGCUCUGAAAUGGUGGCUUCUGUUUGCAGUUUCAAAGCUCAGAGUCCUGCUCUGAUGCCCAGGCUAGAAUACAGUGGCACGAUCUCAGCUCACUCCAGUCUCCACCAUCCCAGGUUCAAGUGAUUCUCCUGCCUCAGCUUCCUGAGUAGCUGGGAUUACAGGUGCCCGCCACCACACCCAACUAAUUUUUGUAGAGACAGGGUUUCACCAUCUUGGCCAGGCUGGUCUUGAACUCCUGACCUCGUGAUCCACCUGCCUCUGCCUCCCAAAGUGCUGGGAUUACAAGUGUGAGCCACCACGCCUGGCUGGAUAAUUUUUUAUAUACGUUUUGUAGAGACAGUGCCUUGCUAUGUUGCCCAGGCUGAUCUUGAACUCCUGGCCUCAAGCAAUCCUCUCCCUUCAGCCUCCAAAAGCCCUGAGAUUACGGGCCUGAGCCACCAUGCCCGGCCAGUUUUGUUUUUUAUCUUAAAUGUGUAUUUGUGAAUUAUUUUGCAAUGGUUGGCGGGCUCACAGACCCUGAAAAGGCUUGUACUUUUGGUAGAAAGGCAUGAGCAACACACAAAAAUAUCUGCAAACAGACAUGGCUUUUUUCCUCAACAUGUUCUAAAUCAUUUGAAAACUUUUAAUUUUCAAAAUUAAAGGCCUGAGUAAAAUUCCAGCUGACAAAUCCACCUCUUAUUCUCCCUUGGUAAUUAAUCAUGAGAUGGUAAACACAGAAGACCUUCAGUGAAGUUGAAGCCUUUACUAUACGAAGGUUCUAGUGAGGGGAGUGCAAAGUGGGGCCGCAGGACAGACACCUGCUCUGAUGACCACGGAACAUGGCGUGGUGGAGUCAAUGUGUGGAAACUCAGCAAUGGUGUGAGUCUCGCGUGGAGCUGCCGACCCAUCGCUUCCUCAUGGGAAAGAUUUUUCCACUUGGGCUCCACUUAUCGCACUCAAGAAACACUGGAUAUUCUGGGAAACUCUUGGAGGGCAGGCAAAAACCAUCCUCCCUCAGACAUGGAGCAUUGACUAAGCUGCUUGUACCUGGGCAGUGUCUGUUUUAAGUAUUAACUAAAAAUCAUUUCCAAGGGAAGCAACAUAGGAAACAGGAAUUAAAAAUGCAAAUGCUGAA